Molecule: ribosomal RNA, 486 nt
Filed under: uncultured bacterium
Lineage: Bacteria
Description: partial 16S ribosomal RNA
Rfam family: Bacterial small subunit ribosomal RNA
Source: RNAcentral
AUUGAACGCUGGCGGCAUGCCUUACACAUGCAAGUCGAACGGCAGCACGGGUGCUUGCACCUGGUGGCGAGUGGCGAACGGGUGAGUAAUACAUCGGAACAUGUCCUGUAGUGGGGGAUAGCCCGGCGGAAGCCGGAUUAAUACCGCAUACGAUCCACGGAUGAAAGCGGGGGACCUUCGGGCCUCGCGCUAUAGGGUUGGCCGAUGGCUGAUUAGCUAGUUGGUGGGGUAAAGGCCUACCAAGGCGACGAUCAGUAGCUGGUCUGAGAGGACGACCAGCCACACUGGGACUGAGACACGGCCCAGACUCCUACGGGAGGCAGCAGUGGGGAAUUUUGGACAAUGGGCGAAAGCCUGAUCCAGCAAUGCCGCGUGUGUGAAGAAGGCCUUCGGGUUGUAAAGCACUUUUGUCCGGAAAGAAAUCCUUGGCUCUAAUACAGUCGGGGGAUGACGGUACCGGAAGAAUAAGCACCGGCUAACUACGUG